This 467-nucleotide ribosomal RNA is filed under the name uncultured bacterium. RNAcentral's name for it is "partial 16S ribosomal RNA". It matches the Rfam family "Bacterial small subunit ribosomal RNA", at positions 28 to 506 of the family's 1533-position model. The record is from RNAcentral.
GACGAACGCUGGCGGCGUGCUUAACACAUGCAAGUCGAACGGAAAGGCCCUGCUUUUGUGGGGUGCUCGAGUGGCGAACGGGUGAGUAACACGUGAGUAACCUGCCCUUGACUUUGGGAUAACUUCAGGAAACUGGGGCUAAUACCGGAUAGGAGCUCCUGCUGCAUGGUGGGGGUUGGAAAGUUUCGGCGGUUGGGGAUGGACUCGCGGCUUAUCAGCUUGUUGGUGGGGUAGUGGCUUACCAAGGCUUUGACGGGUAGCCGGCCUGAGAGGGUGACCGGCAAAAUUGGGACUGAGAUACGGCCCAGCCUCCUACGGGAGGCAGCAGUGGGGAAUAUUGAACAAUGGGCGGAAGCCUGAUGCAGCAACGCCGCGUGCGGGAUGACGGCCUUCGGGUUGUAAACCGCUUUCGCCUGUGACGAAGCGUGAGUGACGGUAAUGGGUAAAGAAGCACCGGCUAACUACGU